Molecule: long non-coding RNA, 700 nt
Organism: Brachypodium distachyon (stiff brome)
Lineage: Eukaryota; Viridiplantae; Streptophyta; Magnoliopsida; Poales; Poaceae
Exons: 3
Source: RefSeq, a predicted model, not a curated record
GGGGGCCAAAUGGACAUUCGCCGGCCUUGGCAUCGUUGGUUACAUUACAGAUUUACAGGUGUCAGCGAGCGAGCGAGCAUCCGGUCCCUUCGUCUACGGCCGGCCUCACCAAAUUGAGAAGGAUGUGUGCGUGCCAAGGUUUCCUGGUCUCGUGUUCUUCAGGUCCCGCGUGGAACCCGACUUUGGCUCGGACCACACGAGCUUUCGGCAGGUGGGAGCCAUGGAGCGUGCCGCCAUUGUUGCCCGGCGGCCGACACUAGGAUAGGCAGUUCGUGCUCAGGAUGCAGCGCGUGCAGGCAUGUAGGGUCUGAAGGGAUAAAAAAAAGGAAAAUUCCACCAUGUUUGGAAUAUACUCACGAAAAUGAUAGGUGACAAGUGUAGUUACGAGGAAGGCAAAACUCAUCAUUUGCUUCAUAAUCUUGGGCUAAAUACUUCCGACAAAAAGUACACUAUGAUUAGAUGUCCUUGUCAACAAUGAAGAUACUUUUCUAGCGUCGUCAUUGUUGUUGCUAAGUUUUUCAUUCAAGAUUUGUACAUAUGCCCUAUGUAGAUGUAGUACAUGCAAUCUAUUGCAGAUUUGUUGGUUGGUCUAUGAGAUAGAUCGAUCAUGUACAAUGCUAGCGUAAAGUUUAGUGAUUGGUGUACCGUGAUCAUAAUGUUGGUUGGACAAUUUCAAAGAGCGGAGUUGUCAUGGUUAACU